UUCUUUCUUUUUUUUUUUUUUUUGAGAUGGAGUCUCACUCUGUUGCCCCAGGUCGUUAAUCUCUAUAUAUACAUAUACAUAUACAUGUGUGUGUUCAUGUAUGUGUGUGUGUGUAGUCCAUGUAUGUGUGCGUGUGUGUAUAGUAACACUUUUGUUACUCCAUUUAACCUUCCCCAGUGGGGUGUGCAGAGCACAAGGGCUGCUUCUGAAUGCAGGCACGUGAUCUAAGGACACUGUGCAUCACCAGUGUGACCCCAGGAGUAGUUUCAGAGCUUUGAUAUAAUAAUUCACCGUCUGACACUCCGGGGCUUGCCUGGAUCUAAAAAUAGUUGUUCCCCCGAGCUGGUCGGGGAACUGGCUGAGAAGGGAGGGAGCUGCGUGGAACACAUUCUGAUAUUUGGCCUUUGUCCGAGGACUGAAAACAGUUCUGUGUCCAAGUAUGUUUUUAAUACCUGAUAUUUAUUUCACAAAAAAGCUGAAAUUGCUUUGUGUGUCCAGGCUUGAAUGUUUAAGGCAUACUUGAUUAAUACAUGUGUGCUGAGCGCUUCCGGCCUGGUGGAGACAUCAGGAAUCCUUACACAGUUCCAGGGAAGAGGGAAGAAAACCCACUGAGGACUGAGGAGGUUGGUCAUGCCAAGUGGAGGUGAGGAGUGGGGCUACAGGAGGCUGAUUUCCUGCUGUUCAGCAAGGAAGUCUUGGGUUGUUUGCCACUCACGUAUUUUACGUUUCUAACUAAGACACAGGACUUCAGGAAUAAG
RNAcentral lists this long non-coding RNA (758 nucleotides) under Homo sapiens (human). Its description in RNAcentral is "non-protein coding lnc-PFKP-11:3". Lineage: Eukaryota; Metazoa; Chordata; Mammalia; Primates; Hominidae. The record is from RNAcentral.